RNAcentral lists this ribosomal RNA (355 nucleotides) under Salmonella enterica subsp. enterica serovar Tennessee. RNAcentral's name for it is "bacterial LSU rRNA". It matches the Rfam family "Bacterial large subunit ribosomal RNA", at positions 1212 to 1567 of the family's 2925-position model. Lineage: Bacteria; Pseudomonadati; Pseudomonadota; Gammaproteobacteria; Enterobacterales; Enterobacteriaceae. The record is from RNAcentral.
CACUGUGUGUUGUUGGGUAGGGGAGCGUUCUGUAAGCCUGUGAAGGUGUGUCGUGAGGCAUGCUGGAGGUAUCAGAAGUGCGAAUGCUGACAUAAGUAACGAUAAAGCGGGUGAAAAGCCCGCUCGCCGGAAGACCAAGGGUUCCUGUCCAACGUUAAUCGGGGCAGGGUGAGUCGACCCCUAAGGCGAGGCCGAAAGGCGUAGUCGAUGGGAAACGGGUUAAUAUUCCCGUACUUGGUGUUACUGCGAAGGGGGGACGGAGAAGGCUAUGUUGGCCGGGCGACGGUUGUCCCGGUUUAAGCGUGUAGGUGUGUGUUCCAGGUAAAUCCGGUUCACUUUAACACUGAGGCGUGAC